Molecule: non-coding RNA, 131 nt
Filed under: Tessaracoccus flavus
Lineage: Bacteria; Bacillati; Actinomycetota; Actinomycetes; Propionibacteriales; Propionibacteriaceae
Description: FMN sequence
Rfam family: FMN riboswitch aptamer (RFN element)
About the family: The RFN element is a highly conserved domain that is found frequently in the 5'-untranslated regions of prokaryotic mRNAs that encode for flavin mononucleotide (FMN) biosynthesis and transport proteins. This element is a metabolite-dependent riboswitch that directly binds FMN in the absence of proteins.
Source: Rfam by way of RNAcentral
AACGUGUUCCGGGGUCGGUGAAAGUCCGAACCGGCGGUUAUAGUCCGCGACCCCCGCGGCCUUCGGGCCAACGGGCUGACUCGGUGAAAUUCCGAGACCGACAGUCAGAGUCUGGAUGGGAGGAACACGCG